RNAcentral lists this ribosomal RNA (433 nucleotides) under uncultured bacterium. RNAcentral describes it as "partial 16S ribosomal RNA". It matches the Rfam family "Bacterial small subunit ribosomal RNA", at positions 29 to 507 of the family's 1533-position model. The record is from RNAcentral.
AGCGAACGCUGGCGGCAGGCCUAACACAUGCAAGACGAACGAACUCUUCGGAGUUAGUGGCGGACGGGUGAGUAACACGUGGGAACGUGCCUUUUGGUUCGGAAUAACUCAGGGAAACUUGUGCUAAUACCGAAUGUGCCCUUCGGGGGAAAGAUUUAUCGCCAUUAGAGCGGCCCGCGUCUGAUUAGCUAGUUGGUGAGGUAACGGCUCACCAAGGCGACGAUCAGUAGCUGGUCUGAGAGGAUGACCAGCCACACUGGGACUGAGACACGGCCCAGACUCCUACGGGAGGCAGCAGUGGGGAAUCUUGCGCAAUGGGCGAAAGCCUGACGCAGCCAUGCCGCGUGAAUGAUGAAGGUCUUAGGAUUGUAAAAUUCUUUCACCGGGGACGAUAAUGACGGUACCCGGAGAAGAAGCCCCGGCUAACUUUGUG